UGAUGAAAACUUUAUUAUUAUUUUUUUUAAUUAUUCUAGUGUAAAAAUAACUGUUUGAGGAUUACAUGUGAAGUACAAGUGUGUGUGUGUGUGUGUGUGUGUGUGUGUGUGUGUGUGUGUGUGUGUGUGUGUGUGUGUGUGUGU
Molecule: long non-coding RNA, 144 nt
Organism: Silurus meridionalis
Lineage: Eukaryota; Metazoa; Chordata; Actinopteri; Siluriformes; Siluridae
Exons: 2
Source: RefSeq, a predicted model, not a curated record